RNAcentral lists this ribosomal RNA (254 nucleotides) under uncultured bacterium. RNAcentral describes it as "partial 16S ribosomal RNA". It matches the Rfam family "Bacterial small subunit ribosomal RNA", at positions 524 to 776 of the family's 1533-position model. The record is from RNAcentral.
CACGUAGGGUGCGAGCGUUGUCCGGAAUUAUUGGGCGUAAAGAGCUCGUAGGCGGUGUGUCGCGUCGGCCGUGAAAACCUGCAGCUUAACUGUGGGCUUGCGGUCGAUACGGGCAUCACUGGAGUUCGGCAGGGGAGACUGGAAUUCCUGGUGUAGCGGUGAAAUGCGCAGAUAUCAGGAGGAACACCAAUGGCGAAGGCAGCUCACUGGGUCGGUACUGACGCUGAGACGCGAAAGCGUGGGGAGCAAACAGG